This 429-nucleotide ribosomal RNA is filed under the name uncultured Alphaproteobacteria bacterium. Its description in RNAcentral is "bacterial SSU rRNA". It matches the Rfam family "Bacterial small subunit ribosomal RNA", at positions 9 to 487 of the family's 1533-position model. Lineage: Bacteria; Pseudomonadati; Pseudomonadota; Alphaproteobacteria. The record is from RNAcentral.
GAGUUUGAUCCUGGCUCAGAACGAACGCUGGCGGCAGGCUUAACACAUGCAAGUCGAACGCCCGCAAGGGGAGUGGCAGACGGGUGAGUAACACGUGGGAAUGUACCCCAAGGUACGGAAUAUUCUCGGGAAACUGAGGGCAAUACCGUAUGUGACCGAAAGGUGAAAGAUUUAUCGCCUUGGGAUCAGCCCGCGUUGGAUUAGCUAGUUGGUGGGGUAAAAGCCUACCAAGGCGACGAUCCAUAGCUGGUCUGAGAGGACGACCAGCCACACUGGGACUGAGACACGGCCCAGACUCCUACGGGAGGCAGCAGUGGGGAAUCUUGGACAAUGGGCGCAAGCCUGAUCCAGCCAUGCCGCGUGAGUGAUGAAGGCCUUAGGGUUGUAAAACUCUUUCGUCAGGGACGAUAAUGACGGUACCUGAAGAAG